This 24-nucleotide non-coding RNA is filed under the name Arabidopsis thaliana (thale cress). The record is from RNAcentral. Lineage: Eukaryota; Viridiplantae; Streptophyta; Magnoliopsida; Brassicales; Brassicaceae.
GAUAUUAAUAUGGAAUGGUGUACU